This 1349-nucleotide ribosomal RNA is filed under the name metagenome. RNAcentral's name for it is "bacterial LSU rRNA". It matches the Rfam family "Bacterial large subunit ribosomal RNA", at positions 1561 to 2925 of the family's 2925-position model. The record is from RNAcentral.
UCGUGAUGUGGAGUGAAAUAUAGUAACGAAGCCCGUGAGCCAUGCGUCAAGAAAAGCCGCUAUUGUUUAUAUUGUACCCGUACCGUAAACCGACACAGGUGGAUGAGGAGAGAAUCCUAAGGCCGGCGGAAGAAGUAUUGCCAAGGAACUCGGCAAAAUGGCCCCGUAACUUAGGGAGAAGGGGUGCCUGCGAGAGCAGGCCGCAGAGAAUAGGCUCAAGCAACUGUUUAGCAAAAACACAGGUCUAUGCGAAACCGAAAGGUGAGGUAUAUGGGCUGACGCCUGCCCGGUGCUGGAAGGUUAAGAGGAGAGGUUAGACGCAAGUCGAAGCUUUGAAUUUAAGCCCCAGUAAACGGCGGCCGUAACAAUAACGGUCCUAAGGUAGCGAAAUUCCUUGUCGGGUAAGUUCCGACCCGCACGAAAGGCGUAAUGAUUUGAGCGCUGUCUCGGCAAUACAUCCGGUGAAAUUGAAGUGCCAGUGAAGAUGCUGGCUACCCGCGCCAGGACGGAAAGACCCCAUGGAGCUUUACUCCAGUUUGGCACUGGGGUCCGGUGUUGCAUGUACAGGAUAGGUGGGAGGCUGAGAGAUAGUGACGUCAGUUGCUAUGGAGCCGCUGUUGGGAUACCACCCUUGUGAUAUUGGGCUUCUAACCAGCCGCCGUGAACCGGCGGUGGGACAAUGCCAGGCGGGGAGUUUGACUGGGGCGGUCGCCUCCGAAAGGGUAUCGGAGGCGCCCAAAGGUUCCCUCAGAAUGGACGGAAACCAUUCGAAGAGUGCAAAGGCAGAAGGGAGCUUGACUGCGACACCGACGGGUGGAGCAGGUACGAAAGUAGGGCUUAGUGAUCCGGUGGUAUUAAGUGGGAAUGCCAUCGCUCAACGGAUAAAAGCUACCCUGGGGAUAACAGGCUUAUCACUCCCAAGAGUUCACAUCGACGGAGUGGUUUGGCACCUCGAUGUCGGCUCAUCGCAUCCUGGGGCUGUAGUAGGUCCCAAGGGUUGGGCUGUUCGCCCAUUAAAGCGGUACGCGAGCUGGGUUCAGAACGUCGUGAGACAGUUCGGUCCCUAUCCGGCGUGGGCGUAGGAUAUCUGAGAGGAGCUGUCCUUAGUACGAGAGGACCGGGAUGGACGGACCGCUGGUGGACCGGUUGGCUUGCCAAAGCCAUGGCCGGGUAGCCAAGUCCGGAAGGGAUAAACGCUGAAGGCAUCUAAGCGUGGAGCCCCCCUCAAGAUGAGAUAUCCCAUUCUUUAAGAAGUAAACCCCCUUGAAGACGACGAGGUAGAUAGGGCAGAGGUGGAAGUGUGGUAACACAUGGAGCUGACUGUUACUAAUCGGGUGAGGGCUUGACCU